GUCCUUAUGUAUUUUUCUAUUGCAACAUGUUGGUAUAAGGAUGGUUUUAAGGCCAUACUUGAAAGAGGCUUUGAAUUUCAACCACCUCGGAGAAGACUCUAAUUUCCCUUUAUGGAAGAAUCAAGAUAAGAUGUCCUUCAGUAUUGAAUAUCUCCUGUUAAUUUUGUUUGGUUUUUUUUUGUAAACACGGGGAGGCAGGGUUUUUUCUUCUGAGGUUUUUCCCUGAGCUCUUGUAUCAUACGCAGAAUUGUAUGGUUCCCCGUUGCACUAACCUCAGCUAAAUAUUAACAUGAAUAAAGAAGCAUGUUAAUCAAA
Long non-coding RNA from Coccinella septempunctata (seven-spotted ladybird), 315 nucleotides. RefSeq lists it as uncharacterized. The record is from RefSeq and is a predicted model, not a curated record. The transcript is spliced from 2 exons. Lineage: Eukaryota; Metazoa; Arthropoda; Insecta; Coleoptera; Coccinellidae.